This 329-nucleotide ribosomal RNA is filed under the name uncultured Chloroflexota bacterium. RNAcentral describes it as "bacterial SSU rRNA". It matches the Rfam family "Bacterial small subunit ribosomal RNA", at positions 1039 to 1382 of the family's 1533-position model. Lineage: Bacteria; Bacillati; Chloroflexota. The record is from RNAcentral.
UGCUGCAUGGCUGUCGUCAGCUCGUGCCGUGAGGUGUUGGGUUAAGUCCCGCAACGAGCGCAACCCUCGUGCUAUGUUGAUUUCUCAUAGCAGACUGCCUUGUACAGCAAGGAGGAAGGUGGGGAUGACGUCAAGUCAGCAUGGCCUUUAUGCCCUGGGCUACACACACGCUACAAUGGGUGGGUACAGAGGGUUGCCACGGAGCAAUCCGGAGCGAAUCCCUUAAAACCAUCCUCAGUUCGGAUUGCAGGCUGCAAUCGCCUGCAUGAAGCCGGAGCUGCUAGUAACCGCAGGUCAGCUAUACUGCGGUGAAUACGUUCUCGGGCCUU